This 2904-nucleotide ribosomal RNA is filed under the name Klebsiella oxytoca. RNAcentral's name for it is "bacterial LSU rRNA". It matches the Rfam family "Bacterial large subunit ribosomal RNA". The record is from RNAcentral. Lineage: Bacteria; Pseudomonadati; Pseudomonadota; Gammaproteobacteria; Enterobacterales; Enterobacteriaceae.
UUAAGCGACUAAGCGUACACGGUGGAUGCCCUGGCAGUCAGAGGCGAUGAAGGACGUGCUAAUCUGCGAAAAGCGUCGGUAAGGUGAUAUGAACCGUUAUAGCCGGCGAUGUCCGAAUGGGGAAACCCAGUGCAAUUCGUUGCACUAUCGUUAACUGAAUACAUAGGUUAACGAGGCGAACCGGGGGAACUGAAACAUCUAAGUACCCCGAGGAAAAGAAAUCAACCGAGAUUCCCCCAGUAGCGGCGAGCGAACGGGGAGCAGCCCGGAGUCUGAAUCAGCUUGUGUGUUAGUGGAAGCGUCUGGAAAGUCGCAGGGUACAGGGUGAUACUCCCGUACACUAAAACACACAGGCUGUGAACUCGAAGAGUAGGGCGGGACACGUGGUAUCCUGUCUGAAUAUGGGGGGACCAUCCUCCAAGGCUAAAUACUCCUGACUGACCGAUAGUGAACCAGUACCGUGAGGGAAAGGCGAAAAGAACCCCGGCGAGGGGAGUGAAAAAGAACCUGAAACCGUGUACGUACAAGCAGUAGGAGCCCACUUGUUGGGUGACUGCGUACCUUUUGUAUAAUGGGUCAGCGACUUAUAUUCUGUAGCAAGGUUAACCGUAUAGGGGAGCCGCAGGGAAACCGAGUCUUAACUGGGCGUUAAGUUGCAGGGUAUAGACCCGAAACCCGGUGAUCUAGCCAUGGGCAGGUUGAAGGUUGGGUAACACUAACUGGAGGACCGAACCGACUAAUGUUGAAAAAUUAGCGGAUGACUUGUGGCUGGGGGUGAAAGGCCAAUCAAACCGGGAGAUAGCUGGUUCUCCCCGAAAGCUAUUUAGGUAGCGCCUCGUGAAUUCAUCUUCGGGGGUAGAGCACUGUUUCGGCUAGGGGGUCAUCCCGACUUACCAACCCGAUGCAAACUACGAAUACCGAAGAAUGUUAUCACGGGAGACACACGGCGGGUGCUAACGUCCGUCGUGAAGAGGGAAACAACCCAGACCGCCAGCUAAGGUCCCAAAGUCAUGGUUAAGUGGGAAACGAUGUGGGAAGGCCCAGACAGCCAGGAUGUUGGCUUAGAAGCAGCCAUCAUUUAAAGAAAGCGUAAUAGCUCACUGGUCGAGUCGGCCUGCGCGGAAGAUGUAACGGGGCUAAACCAUGCACCGAAGCUGCGGCAGCGACACUAUGUGUUGUUGGGUAGGGGAGCGUUCUGUAAGCCGUUGAAGGUGGCCUGUGAGGGUUGCUGGAGGUAUCAGAAGUGCGAAUGCUGACAUAAGUAACGAUAAUGCGGGUGAAAAACCCGCACGCCGGAAGACCAAGGGUUCCUGUCCAACGUUAAUCGGGGCAGGGUGAGUCGACCCCUAAGGCGAGGCCGAAAGGCGUAGUCGAUGGGAAACAGGUUAAUAUUCCUGUACUUGGUGUUACUGCGAAGGGGGGACGGAGAAGGCUAUGUUGGCCGGGCGACGGUUGUCCCGGUUUAAGCAUGUAGGCGGAUGUUCCAGGUAAAUCCGGAACGUUAUCAACGCUGAGGUGUGAUGACGAGGCACUACGGUGCUGAAGUGACAAAUGCCCUGCUUCCAGGAAAAGCCUCUAAGCAUCAGGUAACAUCAAAUCGUACCCCAAACCGACACAGGUGGUCAGGUAGAGAAUACCAAGGCGCUUGAGAGAACUCGGGUGAAGGAACUAGGCAAAAUGGUGCCGUAACUUCGGGAGAAGGCACGCUGAUGGUAAGUGAAGCGACUUGCUCGUGGAGCUGAAAUCAGUCGAAGAUACCAGCUGGCUGCAACUGUUUAUUAAAAACACAGCACUGUGCAAACACGAAAGUGGACGUAUACGGUGUGACGCCUGCCCGGUGCCGGAAGGUUAAUUGAUGGGGUUAUCCUCGCGGAGAAGCUCUUGAUCGAAGCCCCGGUAAACGGCGGCCGUAACUAUAACGGUCCUAAGGUAGCGAAAUUCCUUGUCGGGUAAGUUCCGACCUGCACGAAUGGCGUAAUGAUGGCCAGGCUGUCUCCACCCGAGACUCAGUGAAAUUGAACUCGCUGUGAAGAUGCAGUGUACCCGCGGCAAGACGGAAAGACCCCGUGAACCUUUACUAUAGCUUGACACUGAACACUGGUCCUUGAUGUGUAGGAUAGGUGGGAGGCUUUGAAGUGUGGACGCCAGUCUGCAUGGAGCCAUCCUUGAAAUACCACCCUUUAAUGGCUGGUGUUCUAACGUGGGCCCGUAAUCCGGGUUGCGGACAGUGUCUGGUGGGUAGUUUGACUGGGGCGGUCUCCUCCUAAAGAGUAACGGAGGAGCACGAAGGUCAGCUAAUCCUGGUCGGACAUCAGGAGGUUAGUGCAAUGGCAUAAGCUGGCUUGACUGCGAGCGUGACGGCGCGAGCAGGUGCGAAAGCAGGUCAUAGUGAUCCGGUGGUUCUGAAUGGAAGGGCCAUCGCUCAACGGAUAAAAGGUACUCCGGGGAUAACAGGCUGAUACCGCCCAAGAGUUCAUAUCGACGGCGGUGUUUGGCACCUCGAUGUCGGCUCAUCACAUCCUGGGGCUGAAGUAGGUCCCAAGGGUAUGGCUGUUCGCCAUUUAAAGUGGUACGCGAGCUGGGUUUAGAACGUCGUGAGACAGUUCGGUCCCUAUCUGCCGUGGGCGCUGGAGAAUUGAGGGGGGCUGCUCCUAGUACGAGAGGACCGGAGUGGACGCAUCACUGGUGUUCGGGUUGUCAUGCCAAUGGCAUUGCCCGGUAGCUAAAUGCGGAAGAGAUAAGUGCUGAAAGCAUCUAAGCACGAAACUUGCCCCGAGAUGAGUUCUCCCUGACCCUUUAAGGGUCCUGAAGGAACGUUGAAGACGACGACGUUGAUAGGCCGGGUGUGUAAGCGCAGCGAUGCGUUGAGCUAACCGGUACUAAUGAACCGUGAGGCUUAACCUU